Long non-coding RNA from Gossypium arboreum, 618 nucleotides. RefSeq lists it as uncharacterized. NCBI's taxonomy places the organism in Eukaryota, Viridiplantae, Streptophyta, Magnoliopsida, Malvales, Malvaceae. The record is from RefSeq and is a predicted model, not a curated record. The transcript is spliced from 2 exons.
CGGCCAGCUUUUCCCCUUCCCAGGCUCUACUUUUGAGGGGGGAAAAAAAUAAAAUAAAUGAUGCCUUUUUUUUUUUUUUUUUUUAAAAACAUUGAACCACCCUUUUUGAGAACCCAAAAAUUUAUCCAUCUAUCUCUCUUAUUUUCCUUAAAAAAAACAGAGAGAAAGCUCCCAAAUUUUCACUUAGACCCGCACCACCUUCAUCAGAGAUUCAGCGCGCCGAGGCUGCCGACGUCGGGAGUUCGUCAGUUCAGUUGAGCACAUCUCUGAUGUGGGCUAGUAGAGGAGCGCACGACGCGGAGGGACGCGCGAUGUGCGGUGCUUGGGAACCUCCACGGUUGCGGUGGCUGAGGGUGUUAGCUGCUAGGGUUUUCAUUUUCUUUAAUUUUGCUGGGCUGUUAGGGUUGUUUUGGGUUUAAGUUUGAUGGGUUUAGGGUUUGGGUAAUGGUUUGUAUUGCUAAUUGUUUUGGGUUUUAAAUGUAUUGGGCCCUGGGCAUAAAUUGGGCUUAACAAUGUCAAUAGGGGAAAAUAAAUAGAAUGAUAUUAUGAUUGGAACUGAAAAGUAUUGAACGUGAAAUGGAAUUAAGACAAAUGAAAUAUGCACUUUAUUGUGAAAAA